Molecule: ribosomal RNA, 386 nt
Filed under: marine Metazoa environmental sample
Lineage: Eukaryota; Metazoa
Description: SSU rRNA
Rfam family: Eukaryotic small subunit ribosomal RNA
Source: RNAcentral
AGCUCCAAUAGCGUAUAUUAAAGUUGCUGCAGUUAAAAAGCUCGUAGUUGGAUCUCGGGGGACCUGGUCUAGCCGGUAUAGCUCACGCUAAAACUGGUCUGACCCCCCAACGUGAGGUAUUCGUCUCCGGGUGCACUUCAUUGGGUGCUCGUGAGGGGCCUCGUAGUUACUGUGAAAAAAUUAGAGUGUUCAAAGCAGGCUCAUAUGUUCGGAUAGUCGUGCAUGGAAUAACUUAAUUCGUGCCUUGCUCUUUUCAGUUGUUCUCUGCGACUGGUCAAAUGAUUAAUAGUGACUGCCGGGGGCAUUGGUAUGUCGGGGUUAGAGGUGAAAUUCUUGUAUCCUCGCCAGACCAACAACUGCGAAAGCAUUUGCCAAGAAUGUCUUCA